AUGUUUGGAAAUCACACUGAUUUUCAAGGCGUCACAUUGCGGCAUCAUGAAGCUAGCACAGAUAGCUUCCCGGUUUUCACACCAGAGAAAAACCACUCCUUAGAGGCCUCUCUUUGUUUUCAUUUCUCAGUGUAUGUUUGGAAAUUGCAUGGCAGUUUUCACAGCAUCUCCAUGCGGCAACAUGAAGCUAGCACAGAUAGCUUUCUGGAAAGUAAUCUUCCUACUCACUGUCCCACAUUACUACUCUACUGUUUCCUUUAUUUCUUUUCCUUUGAGAUUUUGUUUCCAAGUUAUCAUUUUUGGACAAUAAGAUAA
Non-coding RNA from Vicia faba (fava bean), 315 nucleotides. NCBI's taxonomy places the organism in Eukaryota, Viridiplantae, Streptophyta, Magnoliopsida, Fabales, Fabaceae. The record is from the annotation of a GenBank genome assembly.